AAUAUUGGACAAUGGGCGCAAGCCUGAUCCAGCCAUGCCGCGUGAGUGAUGAAGGCCUUAGGGUUGUAAAGCUCUUUCGUCGGGGACGAUAAUGACGGUACCCGAAGAAGAAGCCCCGGCUAACUCCGUGCCAGCAGCCGCGGUAAGACGGAGGGGGCUAGCGUUGUUCGGAAUUACUGGGCGUAAAGCGUGCGUAGGCGGCCUUUCAAGUUGGGUGUGAAAGCCCGGGGCUUAACCCCGGAAAUGCGCCCAAGACUGUUUGGCUAGAGACCGGGAGAGGUGAGUGGAACUCCCAGUGUAGAGGUGAAAUUCGUAGAUAUUGGGAAGAACACCAGUGGCGAAGGCGGCUCACUGGACCGGUACUGACGCUGAGGCACGAAAGCGUGGGGAGCAAAC
Molecule: ribosomal RNA, 396 nt
Filed under: uncultured bacterium
Lineage: Bacteria
Description: bacterial SSU rRNA
Rfam family: Bacterial small subunit ribosomal RNA
Source: RNAcentral